GUUUGAUCCUGGCUCAGGACCAACGCCUGGCGGCGUGCUUAACACAUGCAAGUCGAACGGUGAUCCAUCAGCUUGCUGGUGGUGAUCAGUGGCGAACGGGUGAGUAACACGUGAGUAACCUGCCCCAGACUCUGGAAUAACCCCGGGAAACCGGGGCUAAUACCGGAUAUGACACCGAUCCGCAUGGGUAUGGUGUGGAAAGUUUUUCGGUCUGGGAUGGACUCGCGGCCUAUCAGCUUGUUGGUGAGGUAGUGGCUCACCAAGGCGACGACGGGUAGCCGGCCUGAGAGGGCGACCGGCCACACUGGGACUGAGACACGGCCCAGACUCCUACGGGAGGCAGCAGUGGGGAAUAUUGCACAAUGGGCGCAAGCCUGAUGCAGCGACGCCGCGUGAGGGAUGACGGCCUUCGGGUUGUAAACCUCUUUCAGCAGGGAAGAAGCGCAAGUGACGGUACCUGCAGAAGAAGCACCGGCUAACUACGUGCCAGCAGCCGCGGUAAUACGUAGGGUGCGAGCGUUGUCCGGAAUUAUUGGGCGUAAAGAGCUUGUAGGCGGUUUGUCGCGUCUGCCGUGAAAAUCCGAGGCUCAACCUCGGACUUGCGGUGGGUACGGGCAGACUAGAGUGUGGUAGGGGAGACUGGAAUUCCUGGUGUAGCGGUGAAAUGCGCAGAUAUCAGGAGGAACACCGAUGGCGAAGGCAGGUCUCUGGGCCACUACUGACGCUGAGAAGCGAAAGCAUGGGGAGCGAACAGGAUUAGAUACCCUGGUAGUCCAUGCCGUAAACGUUGGGAACUAGGUGUGGGUCUCAUUCCACGAGAUCCGUGCCGCAGCUAACGCAUUAAGUUCCCCGCCUGGGGAGUACGGCCGCAAGGCUAAAACUCAAAGGAAUUGACG
RNAcentral lists this ribosomal RNA (896 nucleotides) under uncultured bacterium. RNAcentral's name for it is "bacterial SSU rRNA". It matches the Rfam family "Bacterial small subunit ribosomal RNA", at positions 11 to 915 of the family's 1533-position model. The record is from RNAcentral.